UACGAAGGGGGCUAGCGUUGUUCGGAAUUACUGGGCGUAAAGGGCGCGUAGGCGGUUUGAAUCGUCGGAUGUGAAAGGCCUGGGCUCAACCUGGGAACGGCAUCCGAUACGGUCAGACUUGAGUGUGGGAGAGGUUGGUGGAAUUCCCAGUGUAGAGGUGAAAUUCGUAGAUAUUGGGAAGAACACCGGUGGCGAAGGCGGCCAACUGGACCACAACUGACGCUGAGGCGCGAAAGCGUGGGGAGCAAACAGG
Molecule: ribosomal RNA, 253 nt
Filed under: uncultured bacterium
Lineage: Bacteria
Description: partial 16S ribosomal RNA
Rfam family: Bacterial small subunit ribosomal RNA
Source: RNAcentral